Pan troglodytes (chimpanzee) is the source of this 147-nucleotide non-coding RNA. It matches the Rfam family "Metazoan signal recognition particle RNA". From Rfam's summary of the family: The signal recognition particle (SRP) is a universally conserved ribonucleoprotein. Lineage: Eukaryota; Metazoa; Chordata; Mammalia; Primates; Hominidae. The record is from Rfam.
GCCAGGCAUGGUGGGCGUGCCUGUAAUCCCAGCUACUUGGGAGGCUGAGGCAGGAGAAUUGCUUGAACCCAGGAGGCAGAGGUUGCAGUGAGCCAAGAUCGUGCCACUGCACUCCAGCCUGGGCAACAGAGUAAGACUCUGUCUCAA